Mugil cephalus (flathead mullet) is the source of this 2698-nucleotide long non-coding RNA. RefSeq lists it as uncharacterized. The transcript is spliced from 4 exons. The record is from RefSeq and is a predicted model, not a curated record. Lineage: Eukaryota; Metazoa; Chordata; Actinopteri; Mugiliformes; Mugilidae.
UGGAUCAGUGGAUCCCACAGAUAUUUUUGAGAAUUUGGAGGCCAGGUCAACACCUUGUGCUGUUCUUUAUAUUUUUUUUUAGUUUUUUUUUAGUGUACGCCUGAGCAGCCUGUUCGGUGAUGGCUGCUGCCAUCAGGGAGUGUCAUUGCUAUAGGGCGUGGUGGAGGGCUGCAUGUCCACAUGAAUGCCAGGUCCAAACGUUUCCCAACAGAACACUGAAUCGUCACAAAUUGACCAGUGUUCUUUACUUGUUCUGUCAGUGGUUUUGUUCCUUUAUUGUUCUGUAAAAUGUGAGGGCAAACUGAGGGCAAAAAAAAAAGGCGACGCUUUGUUUUCCCGUCCCCCAGCAGCCACCAUGACUUCUUCGGACACACAGCUAAAGAAGAUAUCUGCAGAAAUGAGAAACGUUUCCAUGCGAAGGCAACAACUUCUGGAGAGGAAGAAGAUUCUGUGCAUAACCCAGGAGUUGAGGAAACGGGCCGACUUCGCACAAACAGAGGAAGCAGCCUCUAAUCAACAGGAAAUUGAUAACAUUGACAACCAGCUGAAACAGCUCGUUGAAAAGAAGGUGGAACUCCAGAACACCUACGACGCCCUCAGCUCCGAAGGCGCGAGUGGCAAGAAAGGCAAGUCAAACAUUUUGCUGCAGCGCCCGUCGUGAGAUUUUGGACAGCUAAACACAUUUCCUCUCUCCUUUGUUAGAGGUUAGUUUUGCAUCCAGCAUCAAGAAGGAGCCUGACGAGCCUGUUGCUUACGGCAACAUUUUCAUUGUUGAGGCUCCGCCCGCCAUCCCCGCCCCCACGGUGAUUUUGGACGUGCAAAAUCUUCCGAAGUGUCCGUGCCGGACGCAGUGUCCGGAGUGUAGGCAGUACGUCAUGACGGAGACCCAAAGCUCCGUCAGCAGCGUGACCUGGCUGGUGUGCCUCAUGACAGCACUGUUCGGCUGCGUGGCGGGGUGUUGCCUCAUCCCCUUCUGCGUCAAGAGGUUCAAGUCCAUCACGCACAAGUGCCCCAAGUGUCGAGCAUCGAUCCAAACUAUUAAACAGCUCUGAGAGGAAACCAAGUGGCGAAAAGAGACUCACGCUCGGGCUAACAGGAUGUUGGACGUUGGAGCAACGUGGAGUUUAUGGCGGGUAUAAAAAGGCCUAAAACGCCCCUGAGUCAAACAUAGAUAAAUCAUCAUAACAGCAUUUGUAUUUUAUGUAAAAGAGUAACUAAAUAAUGUGGCCAGAAGAGUCCACACAUGUCUUCACUUGAAGGUGGAGAAAAUAUGGCAUCGACGAAGAUGGGAGUCGCUCCAGAACCGAUGAGAGGACAAACAAGGACGCUGACGUCAGUAAAAGAGCCGCGGCUCUUUCUCUUAACAGCCAGUUUCCGCACUAUGUGACGACUUUCUUUCUGUUCCUCAUCUGUCCGGGCCAUGAGGCAACAUGACGCAGGCUUGUCCUAAAGGAUCUAAAUUUUUUUUACAAAAGUACUCUUCUAGUUCCCCAGAAACAUGUGGAAAAGAUCUGUUGUGUUCUUGAUGAGAGACGGAGAUUCGACUCUCUGCCCAAAACCUUCGCAAGGUAUGCUUGGCGCAAACGCAAACGCAUGCACACCAGCGGCGGAGCGCCAUAAAUCACGACGGGCUGUUUUGCGGUGCCAUUUUCCUCAGCACAAACUGGGGGGGUUUGUUUGGUUUUAAGGUGGAAGGAACUGUGAGAAACGUCUGGCGCGCGCGCUAGAAGGUUGGCUGAAGGCGCUGAAAACGCUCGGUGAUCCAAAGUGUUAAAGAUAAAUGUUUUGGAGCAAGCCAGACCUGAAUCUUACAGAAAAUCCAUCAAGGAACCGGGAGAGGGCCAGGAACGUGCAUGUCCUCGCAAACCUGAGAGGUCUUGGAAAAUGUUACCGAGUCAAAAUGCGCCAAGCUUGCGGACUCUCAUCCAAACUAGACUGCUGUAAUCAAAUCAAAAUGUGCUUCAAGUAAAGUGUUAGUCCAGGGGCGCAUGCAAUAACGCAAUUACGUCUUUUGUUUUGUAUCUGUUCCACUGUUUCUCUUUUUCACUUGUUGCAAGUUUGUGAGUGACAUCUGAAUAUUCAGCAGGGGUUAUUUGAUCUUUUAUAGGACCCUUCAAUGUGCAGGGUGCAUCUGAUCCCAAUGUCUGAGGGGUGCAAACAUUUAGUGUAGAGUUUUAAAGAAACACAUGUCAGAAGAAAAGGGUGGCGUCUGCCUUUAUGAAUCAUAAUAGAUUUUAGGUGUAAAUAGAUAUUUAUAAUAUAGUUAACCUACUGCUGCAUCAUUUAAUUGUCUUAUAUGGAUUUAGAAACGUGGUGAGCUCUCAUUGUUCAUUAAACAAAACUACAUGUGUACAGACUUUUCUGUUUUUCAAUUGUUUUUAAUGACAAGCAGUAAAGGGCGUGUGGCAAAGCUCCCGACAGUGGAAUCCACCCCCCCACCUCCACAAAAAAAAACAAAAAAAACACAAAAAAAAUCUCUGUAUUUACAAAAUAGAGAAUGUGUGAAACGUACGGCAUACAAACUAUGCAUUACAAUGUUUUUUGGUGUUGAGUUAUACUAGUAUAGUAAAGACAAAAACAUUUUUCAUUCCAGCACUUAGCCCCUUCCAACGGAGGGAGGGGGGGGACAUUUGGUUUGUCAAAUGAGGCACAAAAGAGAUGAAAAAUAAAAAAAAAUAAAAACAUAAUAAAAAAAAAA